GCUGGGCAUGGUGGUGUGUGCCUGCAGUCCUGGCAACCUGGGAGGCUGAGGUGGGAGGAUCACUUGAGCCCAGGAGUUUGAGGUUACAGUGAGCUAUGAUCAUGCCACUGCACUCUAGCCUGGGCAACAGAGUGAGACUCGGUCUCUA
Molecule: non-coding RNA, 148 nt
Filed under: Nomascus leucogenys (northern white-cheeked gibbon)
Lineage: Eukaryota; Metazoa; Chordata; Mammalia; Primates; Hylobatidae
Source: Rfam by way of RNAcentral